UAGCAUUCACUGAUAGACCUGUUGCCGUAAUUGGUGGCUCCAGGUUUGCACACGGAUGCGACAGUAACUUUCCUCACGAUAUCUGGCCAUCAGAAGGGUGGCUGGAAAGAAUUAAAUUGGGGAGAAUAAGA
Molecule: small nucleolar RNA, 131 nt
Organism: Labeo rohita (rohu)
Lineage: Eukaryota; Metazoa; Chordata; Actinopteri; Cypriniformes; Cyprinidae
Product: small nucleolar RNA SNORA31
Exons: 1
Source: RefSeq, a predicted model, not a curated record